Long non-coding RNA from Stegodyphus dumicola, 1106 nucleotides. NCBI's taxonomy places the organism in Eukaryota, Metazoa, Arthropoda, Arachnida, Araneae, Eresidae. The record is from RefSeq and is a predicted model, not a curated record.
GCGUACGUGCGCCAGAAUAUGGUAACCCUGAUAAUUGUUGCAACCCAGACAGGGAAUUUUCCUGAAGGAGGAAAAGGGAAAUUUUCUGUUUACUUUUCGAACAUUACGGUUGAACUGCCCUUCAAUGAAAGCUUUUGCUCGAUGUGUGGCCUGUAAUAGCAAUAAAUGGGACUUUUGUGAACUGAAAUCUGUUAGGCUUUCCAAAAUCCAGAAAGCUGAUUAGGUGUGCAGAAGCAGCAGACUUGUAAAUGUGAAGGAGCUAUUUGCUUAGUUAUGCAGUAGAAUUCACCACCCUGCGGCAAGCUUCAUUAAAGCUGUGAACAGCCAAGCUAACCAUCUUCAGGGCAAGUGGCUGCAUCAAGCAAACCCAGUGACAUUCCAAAGAGGAAUGUCAGUCAAAAUAAAAACUUAAUACCUAAAUCUCGGAAAAUCAGACAAUUAAGCCACAAAUCUUGUGACCAAUUUUUCAGUUGCUGUGCUUAGUGCGAUAAAGUUAUAUGGCAAUAAACUGAAAAGCUAUGGCAGGUAUUCUAUUGUACCCUUUAAUGAAAUCAAUUUAAAGCAAGCUUAUCAUAUGAUAAGCAAAAUGAUUGUAUCAUUGGAUAUGAAGACUAUGGUAAUGAUUGCAUUGCUGGGUAUGCAGGCUAUGGUUCUACAAUGAGCCAAAUGUAAUAUCUCAGUAUGCUGUGACUAUUAAAAUUAUAACUUAUGUAUUAUUACUUCAUAUUGGUCAUUAUGUUCCAAAAUAGAUGCUCUUUUUAUAUAGAACUAUAUAAAUGUAGAAAAUCUGAGAAGUUAAUUUUAUAUGGAAAGCCUUCGUGCAAAAUUAAUAGCAUCUUGUUAAUUUCAUAUAUGUUUUGUGAAAGUAAUUGCUGCUGAAUCUAGAAUUAAUGCAUUAUCUGAGAUUUGAGACAAAAUUUGUCAAAUUAGAAGAUAGUGAAAUAGAUAAAUAGGAAAUGAAACAUGAAAUUUAUAUAUUUAAUAUUGAAAUAAAUAUCUCAGUAAAGUGGCUGUAUGUAAAGUAUAAUGAUGCAAUUUUUAUAAUUUUUUACUAAAAUGCUAAAAUUAUGUGCUAUGAAAAUUUUAUUUUCAUUAAUAUUUAUAAU